This 424-nucleotide ribosomal RNA is filed under the name uncultured bacterium. Its description in RNAcentral is "bacterial SSU rRNA". It matches the Rfam family "Bacterial small subunit ribosomal RNA", at positions 355 to 796 of the family's 1533-position model. The record is from RNAcentral.
UGGGGAAUAUUGCACAAUGGGCGAAAGCCUGAUGCAGCAACGCCGCGUGAGUGAAGAAGUAUUUCGGUAUGUAAAGCUCUAUCAGCAGGGAAGAAAAUGACGGUACCUGACUAAGAAGCCCCGGCUAACUACGUGCCAGCAGCCGCGGUAAUACGUAGGGGGCAAGCGUUAUCCGGAUUUACUGGGUGUAAAGGGAGCGUAGACGGCGAAGCAAGUCUGAAGUGAAAACCCAGGGCUCAACCCUGGGACUGCUUUGGAAACUGCUUUGCUAGAGUGUCGGAGAGGUGAGUGGAAUUCCUAGUGUAGCGGUGAAAUGCGUAGAUAUUAGGAGGAACACCAGUGGCGAAGGCGACUCACUGGACGAUAACUGACGUUGAGGCUCGAAAGCGUGGGGAGCAAACAGGAUUAGAUACCCCCGUAGUCC